This 76-nucleotide transfer RNA is filed under the name Gammaproteobacteria bacterium. Its description in RNAcentral is "tRNA-Thr". It matches the Rfam family "tRNA". From Rfam's summary of the family: Transfer RNA (tRNA) molecules are approximately 80 nucleotides in length. Their secondary structure includes four short double-helical elements and three loops (D, anti-codon, and T loops). RNAcentral also lists the same sequence under 2 other names. Lineage: Bacteria; Pseudomonadati; Pseudomonadota; Gammaproteobacteria. The record is from RNAcentral.
GCCGCUUUAGCUCAGUUGGUAGAGCACCUGAUUUGUAAUCAGGCGGUCCCCGGUUCGAGUCCGGGAGGCGGCUCCA